RNAcentral lists this ribosomal RNA (169 nucleotides) under uncultured Streptophyta. Its description in RNAcentral is "partial 16S ribosomal RNA". It matches the Rfam family "Bacterial small subunit ribosomal RNA", at positions 340 to 524 of the family's 1533-position model. Lineage: Eukaryota; Viridiplantae; Streptophyta. The record is from RNAcentral.
UACGGGAGGCAGCAGUGGGGAAUUUUCCGCAAUGGGCGAAAGCCUGACGGAGCAAUGCCGCGUGGAGGUGGAAGGCCUACGGGUCGUCAACUUCUUUUCUCGGAGAAGAAACAAUGACGGUAUCUGAGGAAUAAGCAUCGGCUAACUCUGUGCCAGCAGCCGCGGUAAU